Long non-coding RNA from Megalobrama amblycephala (Wuchang bream), 371 nucleotides. RefSeq lists it as uncharacterized. The transcript has 5 exons. Lineage: Eukaryota; Metazoa; Chordata; Actinopteri; Cypriniformes; Xenocyprididae. The record is from RefSeq and is a predicted model, not a curated record.
GAGAAUCUUGAGUACUGCGCAUGCGCAUCAUUUUGUUCUGUAACGGUCGACUUCCAGCAGACGGACACGGAGUAAAAGCAGCUGGAGGAGAGACAGCCUGUGCAGCAACAACAAGACAACAAUGAUUAUAAGCAGGGAUAAUCUCCAGGUGGACUGCACGGGUCCAGGAUCAAGAGAUCAUUCAUCAUGCAGACCAUAUUCCAGCAGCGUAUACUGGGUCUGCUUGAUCAUUUUGUUGUCCUGGAUGUGAGAACAUGGUCAAAAGGUGUGUCAAUCAGCAUCCAGCCAUAAAAGCAGCCUUCUCGUUAAAGGAUGAUCCCACAGUAGCUGCACGAAUCUCAAGCUGUCUGGCGGGCAUCUCGGCAUGGAUG